This 253-nucleotide ribosomal RNA is filed under the name uncultured bacterium. RNAcentral describes it as "partial 16S ribosomal RNA". It matches the Rfam family "Bacterial small subunit ribosomal RNA", at positions 524 to 776 of the family's 1533-position model. The record is from RNAcentral.
UACGAAGGGUGCAAGCGUUACUCGGAAUUACUGGGCGUAAAGGGCUCGUAGGCGGCCAACUAAGUCGGAUGUGAAAUCCCCAGGCUCAACCUGGGAACUGCAUCCGAUACUGGAUGGCUUGAAUCCGGGAGAGGGAUGCAGAAUUCCAGGUGUAGCGGUGAAAUGCGUAGAUAUCUGGAGGAAUACCGGUGGCGAAGGCGGCAUCCUGGACCGGCAUUGACGCUGAUGAGCGAAAGCUAGGGGAGCAAACGGG